Pezoporus flaviventris is the source of this 1466-nucleotide RNA transcript. It is a transcript of the gene named G protein-coupled receptor 157, with no coding region annotated. The record is from RefSeq and is a predicted model, not a curated record. The transcript is spliced from 5 exons. Lineage: Eukaryota; Metazoa; Chordata; Aves; Psittaciformes; Psittacidae.
CCGCUCCUCAUCCCUCCCUCCUGGCACAGCGCGCCCGGGCCGGGCUGUCCCGGAGCAGCGCGGUGCCGCCGCCGCUCCUUCCUCCUCCUUCCUCCUCCUCUUGCGCCCCGUCCCCGGCAUGCCCGCUCCGCUGCCCCCCACCGAGCUGUACGCCUCGGAGCGGGCGGUGGUGCUGCUGUCCUGCGUCCUGUCCUUCCUGGGCUCCAGCCUCCUCGUGGGCACCCAUGCGCUGUGGCCCGAGCUGCGGACGCGGCCCCGGCAGCUCCUGCUCUACCUGUCGCUGGCGGAUCUCCUCUCGGCUCUCUCGUACUUCUAUGGGGUGCUGCGGGACUUCGACAGGACCUCGUGGGACUGCGUGCUCCAGGGUGCCCUGUCCACCUUCUCCAACACCAGCUCCUUCUUCUGGACCAUGGCCAUUGCUGUCUACCUCUACAUCACCAUUGUGAGGGGCUCGCCCACCGGCACAAGCUUGCUCUGCUGCUUUCAUGUCAUGAGCUGGGGAAUCCCCCUUGGCAUUACAGUGGCGGCUGUUGCUCUGAAGAAGAUCGGCUAUGACGCCUCCAACGUUUCUGUGGGCUGGUGCUGGGUCAACCUGGAUGCAGAGGAUCGGGUCCUGUGGAUGCUGCUGACGGGGAAAGUGUGGGAGAUAUUGGCCUAUGUGACCCUGCCCGUGCUCUACCUCCUCAUCAAGAAGCACAUUAACAGAGCACACGCAGCCCUCUCAGAGUAUCGCCCCAUUCUCUCAAGAGCACCUGCAUUUCAACCCCAGACUUCCAUAGCAGAUAAGAAGUUGAUUCUCAUCCCUGUCAUCUUUAUCAUCCUCCGCAUCUGGAGCACUGUGCGCUUCAUUCUGACCCUCUGUAACUCCCCUGCAGUGCAAAAUUCAGUCCUGGUUGUCCUGCAUGGAAUUGGGAACACGUUCCAAGGAGGUGCCAACUGCAUCAUGUUUGUGCUCUGCACGCGGGUGGUCCGCACUCGGCUCUUCUCCUACCUUUGCUGCUGCCACUCUGAUGAGCUGGAUUGGCCUUUGAGGCGAUCAGACAGCAACCGGCAGCACCCAGAGCCCCCCAAGAACAAGGAUGUGCCAGGCCCCGAGAGGACCAAACCCCUGCUCUCCAGCACCUGAGCCCGGGCUGCCUGCAUCUCGGUGCUGGUUCUUCUGUCUUGGUAAAAACCCAGUGUGCGGGAUCAUCCCAGAGUCCCACAGAGGGAGCUCAAGCCUGGGGAGAAGCACGGCUGGAGUGGCUGAGCAAAGGGAAGAGGUCCUGCUCCUCCUCGGCACUGGACACCGGCUGCUUUGGUCUUGAACUUUGCUCAGGGUCCCCUGGAAGAUACCGCUUGGCUCCAGCUUCCUGGUUCCAUUCCCUCCUCCACCAUAAAUGUUACGUUUGUUCGGGGUUUUGCUUUUCUGUCUGGCAAGGCAAAUGUGCUGUGAGCUGCGGGGUGAACAAUAGCACGGUGGCAGG